CUUCUAUACGGGUCCCUUUUGGGGUGGUUAUGGGGUCGUUAUGGGGUCGGUUUGUGGUUCAGGCUCCAAUUACUACGUGCGCAUCCUGAGCACCAUCGACCGGGAGCUGCUGAAGCCCAACGCGUCGGUCGCCCUCCAUAAGCACAGCAAUGCGCUGGUGGACGUUCUGCCGCCCGAGGCCGACAGCAGCAUCAUGAUGCUCAGCUCCGGUCUGCGCCGCGUGCGGGCCCUGCGCCGC
Molecule: long non-coding RNA, 238 nt
Filed under: Gallus gallus (chicken)
Lineage: Eukaryota; Metazoa; Chordata; Aves; Galliformes; Phasianidae
Source: RNAcentral